AUAAACUCAAAAGAGGAAAAAAAAAAAGGAUCCUAACUUACCUAUACCUAGACUUUACUUGACCUAAGAAAUUGUACGUAAUGAAAUUUACAUACUUAUUCAUUCUCUAAUGAACAUUUAUUUGUUGUGUUUAUGUUUUGUGCCAGCCUUUGUUAUACUUUGAUAUCUAAGAGGCAGUGUCUGCUCUGGUGGGACCUAGAGUCUAGUGGAGAAAAGACAUUAAACACAUUCUUACAGAAGUAAAUAUAGAGCUAUAAACUGUAAUAAAUGCUGUCAAGAAAAUGUACAUGGCCAUACAAAUGACUAGUGAAGGCACCCAAGAUUUAAAAAAAAAAAAAAAGUAAGGCUGUCUACGAAAGUAACAGGAUUUCCAGGCACUGAAUUUCUAAAUCAUUGAUAUAGAGACAGACCUGAGAAAAAUGUCUGUACUCUCUGAUCUGCUUAGAGUGCACAGAUGUGGUAAUGAAAGAUGAAUCUAGCAGUGAGAAAUACCCAUGCUCUGUAAUGAAUUGAAUUCCAGCUCUUUCUCAAGUUGACAAAUUUUGAACCCAUUUCUCAACUACAAAGUGAAAAUAAAGAGGCCACAGGAAGAAAAAUACCCUGUAGGACCAUGGCUGUUGGCACUAUUUGUUUUUGUUGUCUGUGGCUCAGCUAUCUUUCAGAUCAUUCAGAGCAUAAGGAUGGGGAUGUGAGACAGCCCGGGCAUCUGACUCUGUGCCCUCUCCCUGGAGGGUGGAAGACCACGCAGGCCUGUGACAGGUACCUGUGGGAAGCAAACAAGUCACAUAGAAGAGAAAGGAGGGUCCCCGUUGUUCCCUGAUCACGUCAUCAAGGAAGUCAGACCAGAUUGCCUUCUCACAGGAUAUCUCAGUACUUCCGUGUCCCCAAGCAGAAAGGACAUUCUGCUUUCCUGUUGGCCAGAUUGUUAGCCAGGCAGGUCACCUGCAGCAGUGCUGUCUGUCUGUUUUCCCCCUCAGUUUCACUAGUGUGUGCAUGUGACCCCCUGAAUGACCACUGGUUUAUUAUCUAAUAAUACAAUCUCUCCUCUGUCGGGAAUUGGUUUUACAAAUAAAUGUCUUCAUUCAAGCUUAUACCAUGUGUGGGUUACCAGAAGAAAAGC
This is a long non-coding RNA of Fukomys damarensis (Damara mole-rat), 1120 nucleotides long. RefSeq lists it as uncharacterized. The transcript is spliced from 4 exons. NCBI's taxonomy places the organism in Eukaryota, Metazoa, Chordata, Mammalia, Rodentia, Bathyergidae. The record is from RefSeq and is a predicted model, not a curated record.